AGUGGAAGGCUGGAGGUGCAACUUUGGAUUCUGUGGGAGUGGGUGCUCAAGCUGUCGAGAAGACCGCACUAAUUGUGAGAUCUGUUUUGGUCGACAUGACAUACACCAGAGCAUUCUUCGAGCGAGGGGAGGUGCCACAACAGGCCGAAGUGGCAGAAUUGUCCGGAUCUGGAAAAAAUGGCAAUAUUAACAUGUAAAUAGUUAGUAUUAGCAUGUGGUUGUAAACACUUAAACAUUUUACGACAUAUUGUGACGAGAUUGUGUCGUUUGUUGGGUUGAUGUUUGAACUGGUAAGUCGUCGCGUAAAGAAAAGGCUACAUAUGCCGCCUUGCUGAAGAUGUGGCUUGAUUUGUUGGGAGGUGUGAAUCGUCCCAACGUUGUUCCUGUUCAGUCUCCCAAGAGUACGUGGUUCUAGGGCGAGUCAUGAUGUGGCGCCGUGGCGGUCGUCGACGUGACGAAGUCGUUGCCACUGGCUGAGUUCAAGCUUCCUCCACCUUCCCGGGAGAGGAAGUUGACCGUGGAGUUCCCUGGCGGUUACGGGAGUGCUGACGCCAAGUCUCAUGAGCUGUGGCUGGAGGUGGACCGUUUGUGGGUUCCGGCGAGUCGGGAGCGUCAAGAGGUCAUGCAUGUCCCCAGUCGCCGCCACUGUUGAGAAUGUAAGUAAGCUGUGGAAGGUAAUUCUUUUUGGGCUUUGUAUUUUGUUUGUGGUGAGUUUUCUACUUGGUUAUGUGUUUGAUAUUGGUGCUUUGUAUUGUUUUCUAGCCUUUGCAAUCGGCUUAGGCUACUCGUCAUCAUGUGAUGAGUUUGGAGGAUGUUGUCAACGAUGAAAGGCAAGUUGAAGUGUGCCAAGAAGGAACAGACGCGGUUGGACGGUGUUCAUAAUUAAAGAUGGUUAUGGGCCGUCCCGACCCGAAUCCCGACCCGACACGAAAAAACUCGGCCCUGCACGAGCACAAAAAAGCCCGCCCCGACAUGGGCACAGAGUCGUGAGCCUUAAUUUUUUGGAAUAAGCACAACAAGGCCCGGCACUACUCGACCCGGCACGACAAAACACGCUAAAUUUAGUAAAAUUAGCCUUAGACACGACGGUCCGACCCAGCCCGACACGAUACAAUGUGGGCCUGGUGUGGGCACAACCCGGUUAGGGCCAUGGCCCAUGGGCUUGGUCCAAACUCCAAAGCCCGACCCGACCCACAACCAUCUUUAGGUGUUCCUUCUAUCGCUAAUCUAUCAAACUUAUGACAACAACAAAACUCACCAUAUAAUAAAGACUACUUUAUGUAUGUUUUUACCAUAUCAAACAUUAUAAUUUUUAAAUAUCUGCAAUUUAAGAUAUUAAAAGUAAAAAUUGUAUGUUAACAAACGUAAAAGUCAAAACGUUACAACGAUCAGAAAACAGAGUAAAUAUUAAUUCCAUGGUCCGUAAGGUUGGAGGAUUGGAGCUACUAUCGUACAUAGGAAUUGAAUAUUGGUCCCUAAAAUUUUUUUUUAAAAAAAAGAAUCAUCAAAACACUCCAACUGAGUUUUAUCCCAAUCUCAUUCAAGCCAUACAAUUCUUAUCCCACGUUUUUGGGCCAAAACAAUUUUGUCAUCGAAAGCAGUGAUUGGUAGCUAUUUCAUCGUACGUAUUAGUGAGUCAUUCGUCUAUAAAAUGAACACAAUUUUUGUUGCAUCAACAUAACCAACCACCAAAACUUACAAAUAAUCUUGCAACUUUGAGUUACACUAAAUUCAAAGAGAAACCAAGAGAUGGAAUCAGAUUUAUGCCCAUCUGGAAAACUUAGCUGGCCAGAGCUGAACGGGAUGAAGGGAGAAGAAGCAGCAAAAAUCAUUAAGGAAGAAAACCCUCGUGUUAAUCCCAUUGUUUGGGAUAAACCUUGGAUCCCACUCAACUACGACUGCUACCGUGUCUUUGUCAUUGUUGAUUCUGAUGGAAUCGUCAUUCGUCCUCCAAUGGCCGGUUAAGCAAGCCAAGUAAUAAAUGCGUACACAUAAAAUUGAAGUACGGAGUAAUGGAUAAAUAUGUGUACCAGUAUGUGUUAAGCCUAGCUAUUCGCAUAAUGUAGUGACUAGCUAGUGCGAUUAUGUAAUGUUUAAUUUAAAAUAAAAAGAGUAAUAACAUUUAUGUUUUUGCUCUAUAUAUGUUGAA
Spinacia oleracea (spinach) is the source of this 2149-nucleotide long non-coding RNA. RefSeq lists it as uncharacterized. The record is from RefSeq and is a predicted model, not a curated record. The transcript has 3 exons. NCBI's taxonomy places the organism in Eukaryota, Viridiplantae, Streptophyta, Magnoliopsida, Caryophyllales, Amaranthaceae.